Molecule: ribosomal RNA, 442 nt
Filed under: uncultured bacterium
Lineage: Bacteria
Description: partial 16S ribosomal RNA
Rfam family: Bacterial small subunit ribosomal RNA
Source: RNAcentral
CUACGGGAGGCAGCAGUAGGGAAUUUUGCGCAAUGGGCGAAAGCCUGACGCAGCAACACCGCGUGCAUGAUGAAGCUCUUUUAGAGUGUAAAAUGCUGUCAGAGGGGACGAAUUUUUGACGGUACCCUCAGAGGAAGCAUCGGCUAACUACGUGCCAGCAGCCGCGGUAAGACGUAGGAUGCAAGCGUUGUCCGGAAUCAUUGGGCGUAAAGAGUUCGUAGGCGGCAUAUCAAGUCUGGUGUCAAAGCCCGGAGCUUAACUCCGGUUCGGCACUGGAAACUGAUAAGCUUGAACCAAGCAGAGGCAAGGGGAAUUCCCAGUGUAGCGGUGAAAUGCGUAGAUAUUGGGAGGAACACCAGUGGCGUAAGCGCCUUGCUGGGCUUGUGUUGACGCUGAGGAACGAAAGCCAGGGUAGCGAAUGGGAUUAGAUACCCGCGUAGUC